AUGAUCAAGAGAAGCCUGUUGAUGACUCCAAAGCUCUCGCAGUAGUUGAUCGUAAGCUCUCUCUCUCUCUCUCUGCGAACAUAAGUAUAUAAUUUUAAUUGCUGCUAUUUUAGACUAUUUAUUCUUUAAAUUAAUAUUGAAUGCUUUUACAGGACCUGAGAAAACAAACAGCUUGUAUCAAACGAGCUUAAUACAAUUAACUGACUUAUGGAGAUUUAAAUUUUCAUUGUUUUUAUACAUAAAAAUAAAUAGAAAAUAUUAAGCUCAUAGUUUUGAUCAUUUGCGCCUACUCUGUUUUUUGAAAAUUUAAAGAGAUUAAAUGAUGGAGUUUUAGUGUUCAAUUCAGGAUUAUUUUUCUCAAUUUUGAUCCAUUUAUGUUUAGUUUUGUGUUUUCUGAAUUUGAUUUCUUUCUUUUUCCUUUAAUUUUAUAUAAAUGAAUAUUUUUGUAGAUUUAAUUUUAUAUAAAAAAGAAGAUUUUAAUAAUAAUAAUAAUAGAAAAAGACACAUGAAUAUAUUUGUAGCCAAUGAAAUUUCUUAAGUACCCUUUGUCUCAUAAUAAUCAUUAAGGUUUUUGGGUCUAAUUUUUAUUAUUGAGAAUCCCUUUUUGAGAGACAGCUUCUCUCCGGUUUGUGUGAAAAAAUCAUUUCUUUUUCUCUGUUGAUCAUUUUUGCAAUUUAAUAUCAAAGCGUUAAUUUAAUAAUAAUAGAAAAACACACAUGAAUAUAUUUGUAGCCAUUGAAAUUUCUUAAGUACCCUUUGUCUCAUAAUAAUCAUUAAGGUUUUUGGGUCUAAUUUUUAUUAUUGAGAACCCCUUUUUGAGAAACAGCUUCUCUCCGGUUUGUGUGAAAAAAUCAUUUCUUUUUCUCUGUUGAUCAUUUUUGCAAUUUAAUAUCAAAGCGUUACUUUUGCACAUAGAAUACUUUUAUUAUAUAUAUAUAUAUAUAUAUAGCGGAUUAGGCAUAAAUCAAGAUGCUUGUCCACUUUGUUCCAUGAUUGAUGACACUUUAACCAACAACUUAUGAAAAGCUUACCGUAUUCUAUGCAUGCUUUAAUUAGAUGAUGGAAGAAAUUAACCCUAUGCUUUACACCAUAGGAUUCCAAAAGGAGAGAAAAUGAUGGGUUUAAUCUAAAAUUAAUGUUGACGGUAGGGUUGAUAACAGCUAAGAUUCCUUUCUAAUUGCUGACGAUUGGACUUCCACUUUACUAGAUUUUCCAUAAUGCAAAUUUGAUAAUUAUUGUAAUUAGUAAAUUUAGCAUGCAUACAAAUCUCAUCAUAUUACUAACUGUCUACUAUACAAAAUACUUGCAAUGUACAGCAAAAAGAUUUCCCUUUCCCUACGUUAGCCUACUUUGACUUGGCUAAUGGCUAUUGCUUUAUUGUAGAAGUUAUUGUGUAUUGUAAAUAUUCAUGUAAAUCAUGUAUUGGUAUCCCUUGCUUUAAGGGAUCAAAGCACAAGCCAUAUCCUCAAUAGGUUGGAAGGAGAUCCUAUGGUUUCUGGGAAAAUCAUUUUCUUGCAACAUAUCAUAUGUAGGAAGAAACGGGAGUUUACAAUUUCUCUUGACUGUUCUUUCAUAAUAUUGAAGCCACUUAUAUUUCUUUCCUCCAAAGAAUGGAAUCUGGUGCACAACCAGGUGAAGUUGUUUUACCAGACCUGCCUCGCAUGAGCUUGCAAUUAGAGGGGUAUUAUCCUGUUCAGUCAUCAAUAAGAGGGGCUUAUCAUGUAAACUACCUUGAAUGAUGCUAGCUUGCAUGCUUUAAGCAUGUUAUUUAAAGACUAAGGCCACCCAUUAUACCAUAAGAUCUGAUAAAAACAUACAAUAAUAGUUACUGAAAGGAAAAACUCAUUCUAAAUUCGAAAAUGGACAUCCACUUUCAUGCAUUUUCCUUUGCUAGGUCAAAAAAUAAUGUAAAUCUAGUUCUUUCAUAAUAUGGUUAGUGUUGCAUAUGUAUUUUCUCAUCGGAGUACUAGAUUUAUGUAUUUCCAUAUAUUGCCUUUGACAGAAAC
Molecule: long non-coding RNA, 2006 nt
Filed under: Citrus x clementina
Lineage: Eukaryota; Viridiplantae; Streptophyta; Magnoliopsida; Sapindales; Rutaceae
Description: Citrus clementina (C. clementina) long non-coding RNA (CCLE_LNC004719)
Source: RNAcentral